GGGAAGAGCAAGGGAGAGGAGGAAAAGAUAAAGAGAGAGGAGAGGCGGAAAAGAGAGAGAGCAAGGGGAGGAGGAGAGGAGAGAAGUGAGGAGGGGACGGGAGAGCAGGAAAGCAGAGGAGAGGGGAGGGGAGAGAGGGAAGGAGAGGAGGCUGAAAUAUAAGAAACCUCACAGGUAAACAAUGUUGGAAAAAGUUGUUCAUCAGAAAAUUAAUGUGUCGUAUUGCUUGUCUCCACUACUCUUGUACACUCUCUUGCACCAAAGAAGAGAUGCCUGGGAACUACAUUUUCCAUUGUCCCUUGGUAAAAGUUUCAGGUUAGAUUGAGAAACGUUGGGCACAAUUUGGAAGACAGAAGAGAAGACAUGAUUUUUCCACUGCACUUGUGAGAAGACACAUAGGCACUAAGCAAGGCAAUGGGGUACCAUUAGCUCACAGUAGACAAAGGAAGUAGAAGUUUCUAACAUUAGUGCCUUUUCUUUGGAAUGUAAACUAACCAUCUCCUCUGAGAAGGUAAGAGGGUCUAUAUAGUUUCACUGCAAUGGAUUAUAAUAACCAUUUCCUGGGACAUAAAUCUAUAAAUCAUUACGAAGUAAUACACAAUCUCUAGCUUACAGGGCACAUACAAUCAAUUAUUUUUUCUUUAUUUUGAAUUGACAAGUAUAAACUCUCUAUGUUUAUGGUGUACAUGAUGUUUUGAUAUACGCAUACCUUGUGAAAUGGCUAAAUUAAACUAUUUAACACAUCCAAUAUAUGCAUUACCUCACAUAAUUUUUUCUGGUGAGAACACUUGAAAUACACCCUUUUAGAAAUAUAUCUAUAAGAUAUUGUUAUUAACUGUAGUCAGCAUGAGGUCAAUAGAUUUCUUGAACUUGUUCGUCCUAACUGAAUUUUUUGUGUUCUUGCCCAGUGCUCUUUGACAGAAAUCCCAGAUCAUGAACAUACAUGAAAAUAUUCAUGGAGAAUUGUCUCCUACCAAAUUUUAUGGAAAACUCAUAUUUCAAAAAAAGACACGUCUAAGAAUGAGGGAGAUAAUGAUCACAACAGAUGACUCCACCAAAUCUGAUUAUCUGAUGACCCAUCCAGUGGGUGAAAAGUCGCUUUUCUUCUAUAUCUCAUACAUGCUUAAACUUAACACAAAUCAGUGGUGAUGCUUAUGGAAUUAGCAAGAAACACUGGAAUACUUUGUUUUUUAGAGUUUACAUUAACUCAGUAAAAUGUAUUUCCAAUAUAUGACAUUAAUAUGUCAGGUGCUCUGUGCAUUUUAUGGUUUAUGCAUCUAUUUAUCAGUGAACCAUUUGCCCCAAUCUACAACACUGGAUCUCUGAGCCUAGAACUGGCACCUUCUUUCGACGCAUUUAAUCUUAUAAAAUGAAACACUAUUGUGCCUUGAGUGAAAGCCUAGAUAGGAAUAUUUUGAUUUAAUUUUGUUUAUAACAUGGCUAGUGGGAAUUUUUUCUUGUUUUUGCAAUUUCAUAAUCUAUCCAUACAAAUAUCUAGGAUGCUUGAGUUUUUAUCUUUUUCUGUUUGUUAAUUUCACAGGCCAAGCUACAUUUGGCAGUAUUUCUCCCCUAUCAUUUUAAACUGAAAAUCCCAAGACUGAUAAAAUUUCAAAACUAAGCUGAAAUAAGAAGAAGGAAAAUAGUGUUUCCGGUGUUUAUCAUUCCACUGGCCCAACAACAAAAGCCAAUCAUAUUCAACUGAAAUAAUUUCAAAUUACUUAUUUAAUACUAGAUGUAUGCCAACUAGGAUAUUAGAUAUAAAAAUACCAAGUAAUAUAAUUUAUGUCUUUAAGUUCAGUAGCUACCAGGGAACAUAGACAUGUUAACAAUUAAUUAUAAAACAAUCCUAGAGUGUCUUUUUUAAUUGUGUUUACAAAGUUUUAUCAAAGCCUAGGGGAAUCAGUCACUUGGUUUUACACAAGUUAUUUGGUCAAGUGAACUUUUUUUUUUUUUUCACAAAUUGAAGCAUCUGACUAUUUCUAACACUGUGAUCCACAGUAUUAAGACAAUUAAAAUGCCAUAUUUAGGGAAUGUAUAAAUGUAUUAUUUUUCUUUAUGCAAAUUUCAAGUUGUUUAUUAUAUUCAGAAUGAGAAACAUUACAAAUAUAGAAAAUGCUGCAAAGUCAGCUUGGUUUUUGUACUUUCAUAUGAACUAGUCUCUGAGUACCCAGAUUAAUUAGCUAAUCACUGCAUUGUCAAGUCUCUAUAAUGCUCUCUGCUGUAUCCUAUCACUGACUUUUUCUGGGUUAAGAUUUAUUUUGGGAAUUGAGAGCCAAGGCUGGAACACACUGAACAGAGUGUUCUAUUUCUGUGUGAAAUGAUAGAUGUUGCUCUUGCCCAGAAUGAAAAUGCUUUGCACUGCUCCCAAUCUGUAAACUGUUCCAUUUGCUUGGCAUAAUAAGUAUACUGAUGUAUUUAAUUCUGUCUACCAGACCCAUGCUGUUCAAUUCCCCUCUGCUAGCCAAAUAUACCAGAAGUCACAAAUUUCUCUCCAAUAAGGAAACUAAAUGUGAUCUCUUCUAUAAGUAAAAGCAGUGUUAGUGUCCUGUUAUUAUUUUUUGGAGUUACCGUAUGUUUUAAAUCCAAGAUUAGCAAAAGAUUUGUUAUAAUCUUUUCACUUUUAUCAACUACUUAGUCCAGCAAACAUACUGACAAAAUAAUUGUAUAUGCUCAAAUGUACAGUCUGUGGAAAUGAUUCGAUGUUUGUAUAACUACCACUUUCUUUCAAAAUGAACCUUCAUUUUGUUGUCUCCUUUUCAC
Molecule: long non-coding RNA, 2760 nt
Filed under: Pan troglodytes (chimpanzee)
Lineage: Eukaryota; Metazoa; Chordata; Mammalia; Primates; Hominidae
Description: lncRNA (ENSPTRG00000054500.1)
Source: RNAcentral